RNAcentral lists this ribosomal RNA (954 nucleotides) under uncultured crenarchaeote. RNAcentral's name for it is "bacterial SSU rRNA". It matches the Rfam family "Archaeal small subunit ribosomal RNA", at positions 453 to 1407 of the family's 1478-position model. The record is from RNAcentral. Lineage: Archaea; Thermoproteati; Thermoproteota.
UGGUGUCACCCCCCCCGGUAAUACCAGCACCUCGAGUGGUCAGGACGUUUAUUGGGCCUAAAGCAUCCCUAGCCGGCUUUGCAAGUCUUCGGUUAAAUCCACCUGCUCAACAGAUGGGCCGCUGGAGAUACUACAGAGCUACGGAGUGGGAGAGGCAGACGGUAUUCAGUGGGUAGGGGUAAAAUCCUCUGAUCCAUUGAGGACCACCAGUGGCGAAGGCGGUCUGCCAGAACACGUUCGACGGUGAGGGAUGAAAGCUGGGGGAGCAAACCGGAUUAGAUACCCGGGUAGUCCCAGCUGUAAACGAUGCAAACUCGGUGAUGCAUUGGCUUAUGGCCAAUGCAGUGCCGCAGGGAAGCCGUUAAGUUUGCCGCCUGGGAAGUACGGACGCAAGUCUGAAACUUAAAGGAAUUGGCGGGGGAGCACCACAAGGGGUGAAGCCUGCGGUUCAAUUGGAGUCAACGCCAGGAAUCUUACCCGGGGAGACAGCAGAAUGAAGGUCAAGCUGAAGACUUUACCAGACAAGCUGAGAGGAGGUGCAUGGCCGUCGCCAGCUCGUGCCGUGAGGUGUCCUGUUAAGUCAGGUAACGAGCGAGAUCCCUGCCCUUAGUUGCUGCAGUUACUCUCAGGAGUAGUUGGGCUAACUAAGGGGACCGCCACUGCUGAAGUGGAGGAAGGAGGGGGCCACGGCAGGUCAGUAUGCCCCGAAACCCUGGGGCUACACGCGGGCUGCAAUGAUAGAGACAACGGGUUCCGAACUCGAAAGAGGGAGGCAAUCCUUAAACUCUAUCUCAGUUAUGAUUGAGGGCUGCAACUCGCCCUCAUGAAUAUGGAAUCCCUAGUAACCGCGCGUCAUAACCGCGCAGUGAAUACGUCCCUGCUCCUUGCACACACCGCCCGUCGCUUCAUUGAAGUUGGUUUGUGACGAGGUGACGCCUAAUUGACGUCAUCGAA